This 127-nucleotide small nucleolar RNA is filed under the name Dasypus novemcinctus (nine-banded armadillo). RNAcentral's name for it is "Small nucleolar RNA SNORA31 (ENSDNOG00000035360.1)". Lineage: Eukaryota; Metazoa; Chordata; Mammalia; Cingulata; Dasypodidae. The record is from RNAcentral.
UGGUCUGACAGCACUGGAGCAGUUCCUGUCUGCUGCUAAGGUUUCACUACAUAUGCCAGACAAAGAAGUUGUGGAGCUUUCUGUCUGUCUGGUGUGGCAGCCAAGAUUGAAUGGGAGAAAUACAGGA